UCCACAUAAACAAAGAGAAUAGCUCAGGUAGUAGGAAUUGACUAUUUGACUAAUUAUCCCUCAUUGAAAACUAGACCGGUAAGUUGUGUUAUUGGAGCUGAUUUAAAAAAAUAUCAACAAAAGAUUAGGGACAAAAUCUUGAACAACGAGAAGCUAAGGGGGUGAUUUGAAAAUAAAAAGUGGGGCACAAGAAUUGAGGGAGAGAAAGGAAAGAAAAGACCGUCAGAACCAAACGGCAGCUUUGUUUUCUACACACACCACCGUUACAUGGGGAAUACACAGAGACGAAUCUAAAGACGUUCUAAAAUAAUAUAUUUGGUUGCUGGAAUCAGC
RNAcentral lists this long non-coding RNA (333 nucleotides) under Populus tremula. RNAcentral describes it as "long non-coding RNA (PTRE_LNC000582)". Lineage: Eukaryota; Viridiplantae; Streptophyta; Magnoliopsida; Malpighiales; Salicaceae. The record is from RNAcentral.